RNAcentral lists this ribosomal RNA (115 nucleotides) under Danio rerio (zebrafish). The record is from RNAcentral. Lineage: Eukaryota; Metazoa; Chordata; Actinopteri; Cypriniformes; Danionidae.
GCUGGCAGCUAGCUCUCUGCAAUUUUCACAUGGUCGCCCACUGGAGCUAAACAGGGUUUCACUUAGUCAGUACCUGGGUGGGAGACCACAUUGGAAAGCUAAGUUGCUGCCGAAA